AUUAUAAAUGUGAUGGCACAUUAUUCUAGUCACAAAUUUUAUUAUGAAUGCAGAGGUAAAAUACUGUUAAAGAGCAUAUCUGUGAAACUUUUGGUGCUUGCUUAAAUCGCCCAGAUUUGGGUGGGUGCUGGAAGGUUAGAAUUUUGGGAAAUCUAUAAUGGCAUAUAGAGGAACCCAACUUUCGUGGAGACCUAAACUUGUCGAAAGCCUAUACAUGACAACAUUGACGGACUUUCAAUGACUUAGGGCGUAACCUACUAUGUGGGGAAACUUGCGAGUAGUGUAGCUUGUCUUGAGUGAAUGCUAUGGGAUAAUUGAUCAGAAUUAAGCUAUUAGGCCAAAUAACUUAGUUUAUCGCAAUUUGAAAUUACAUUUGCAAAAAAGAAUUAAUAAUAAAAUAAGUGUUGAGGAAAACUCCUAGAGUGCAUAUAUUAUAGGAUUGCAGUGUAUACUAAGUGGUGAUCAAGUUAUACGAUUGGUAACGACGUAUUAGGAUCUUUAAAGGGAAACCGCAAAUGUGGUAACGCAUUGUAGAGACUAGAGAAAUUCUACUUGACCUAAGAUACAAAGUUAACUAUAUUAUCGCCAAAC
Molecule: small RNA, 591 nt
Filed under: human gut metagenome
Source: RNAcentral